GGAACAAUGGUCGAUAAGCUUUGCUAGCCAGGUUACCUUUGGGAAAUUGAAAGUUUUGGCCAGAAUGGGACACUAACUGGCACUAUUGUUACACCUUGCUUUGAAGAUACUGUAAUUCUUUAUGGAGUUUGUCUGUUCUUUUGGAUGCUAGCAAGUGUUAACUUCUUGUGUCGCAAAAACAGAGAAUUUAUCCAUAUUCCUUUUAAUCUAUUACUUUUGACUAAAAUGGUUUUGUGUUUUUUUAUUAUGCUCUUAACACUUUCUGACUUCAUCUAUGCCAUCAUUGUGGUUAGGAAAAAUGCUAUAGCACCUUAUUUCUUCAUGUCUCCAUUUGUAAUAGCAUUUACCAUGGUAACAGUGAUUCUUCUACUACAAUCUGAGU
Molecule: long non-coding RNA, 382 nt
Organism: Amphimedon queenslandica
Lineage: Eukaryota; Metazoa; Porifera; Demospongiae; Haplosclerida; Niphatidae
Exons: 4
Source: RefSeq, a predicted model, not a curated record